UUGAGAGUUGCGAGGAACCUUCUACACUGUUGCUUUCUAGUUUUCAUCCUGCCAAUCUAUCGAUGUUGUUUGUAGUCCCUGAAAUGCGAUCUUGAUCUGCUAAUCUUUUGAGGUAAUCCACAAAGUGAUGAUUGAUUUCCACAGGGCUUGCUCGAGAGCUACCUUCCUGCUAUGCUUUCUUUCUUGGGUCAACCAAGUCAUUCAAUAGUCCAACAAGCUUUGCUGUCGCCGGGCACAUAGAGAAGUAGUUCUGCUCUGUUCAGUAUCAUAAGUACUGGAUGUUCCUGGAAGGGGUAUGUCCUAAGUAGUUGCUUUCCCUUCUUCUGCGAUAUAGCUGGUGGCUUUCCCGGUGGGAUGUAAUGCAAAAUCGUAAUAGAGGGUCCCCCGCCACUAUAUCGCUAGUCGGUCUCUUUUUCCGGCUGGAUGAGUGGUCGAUCGGAUGCUUUCGUCUGCUCUAGUCUUCCCCUCUGG
Molecule: unclassified non-coding RNA, 471 nt
Filed under: Hevea brasiliensis (rubber tree)
Lineage: Eukaryota; Viridiplantae; Streptophyta; Magnoliopsida; Malpighiales; Euphorbiaceae
Source: RNAcentral